Molecule: ribosomal RNA, 212 nt
Filed under: uncultured bacterium
Lineage: Bacteria
Description: partial 16S ribosomal RNA
Rfam family: Bacterial small subunit ribosomal RNA
Source: RNAcentral
CAGUUCGGAUCGCAGGCUGCAACCCGCCUGCGUGAAGUUGGAAUCGCUAGUAAUCGCGGAUCAGCAUGCCGCGGUGAAUACGUUCCCGGGCCUUGUACACACCGCCCGUCACACCAUGAGAGUCGGGAACACCCGAAGUCCGUAGCCUAACCGCAAGGGGGGCGCGGCCGAAGGUGGGUUCGAUAAUUGGGGUGAAGUCGUAACAAGGUAAC